CAGAGGGGCAAGCGUUGUUCGGAAUUACUGGGCGUAAAGGGCGCGAAGGCGGCACCUAAGUCAGACGUGAAAUCCCUCGGCUCAACCGGGGAACUGCGUCUGAUACUGGGUGGCUUGAAUUCGGGAGAGGAAUGCGGAAUUCCAGGUGUAGCGGUGAAAUGCGUAGAUAUCUGGAGGAACACCGGUGGCGAAGGCGGCAUUCUGGACCGACAUUGACGCUGAGGCGCGAAAGCCAGGGGAGCAAACGGGAUUAGAUACCCCGGUAGUCCUGGCCCUAAACGAUGAAUGCUUGGUGUGGCGGGUAUCGAUCCCUGCCGUGCCGAAGCUAACACAUUAAGCAUUCCGCCUGGGGAGUACGGUCGCAAGGCUG
Molecule: ribosomal RNA, 370 nt
Filed under: uncultured organism
Description: bacterial SSU rRNA
Rfam family: Bacterial small subunit ribosomal RNA
Source: RNAcentral